ACCUCUAGCUCGCCGCUCACCCUCGACGCCACUGUCGCUCGCCCUCGACGCCACCGCUGCUCACCCUCGACGCCGCCGCUCGCUGACCCCUGCUCAAGGCCACCUCCGCUCGCCCUCGACGGCACCGCGGCUAACCUCUGGCUCGCCGCUCACCCUCAAUGCCACCGCUCACUGACCCCUGCUCAAGGCCACCUCUGCUCGCAUAUUGCUCCUUCAGAGGCUAAAAUCUCUGUUUUAUGAAUUUUUUAUGCCAUGAUGAUUUGAAGCUUGCUGAUAAUGGCGCAAAGACAAGUACAACGGAGAGGAGUGCUGACUUUGGCGAAAAUCUUUGGGAACUUGAAGACACUUUAUCAGAAGCUGCAUCAAAGCAUGAGCUAUGAGUCUUUUGCUGAUUUAAACAAGUUUUCCCAGGUAUGCCACCUGCAUAAAGUUAGUAGGAUAGCA
RNAcentral lists this long non-coding RNA (444 nucleotides) under Eucalyptus grandis. RNAcentral's name for it is "long non-coding RNA (EGRA_LNC003921)". Lineage: Eukaryota; Viridiplantae; Streptophyta; Magnoliopsida; Myrtales; Myrtaceae. The record is from RNAcentral.